Long non-coding RNA from Solanum lycopersicum (tomato), 1182 nucleotides. RefSeq lists it as uncharacterized. NCBI's taxonomy places the organism in Eukaryota, Viridiplantae, Streptophyta, Magnoliopsida, Solanales, Solanaceae. The record is from RefSeq and is a predicted model, not a curated record.
GGAAGGAAAUAAAAUGAGGGCUAGUGUAAAAUUUUUAAAUAGAAUAAGGAUACAUUUUCCUCCCUUAGAUGCCACCACCCAACCCCCCUUUGUUUCCAUUUUCGAUUCCGGCCAGCAACCUUCCUGCCACCAUCUUAGACCCACCAGAUCUCUACCCAUUCAACUCCAUUUUUCUCUCCCUCCGUCGGAAUCCUGCAAGGCUUGAGAACUCCAUCUCAAUAAUAGCUUCACAUCACCACCGAAAAGACCACCAGUUCAACACCCAAACAACCUCCAAAACCCCACCAGCCGCCGCGUGAAACAAAACCCCUUUGUUUUCACGAGCUCCGAGCUCCGGUGAACUCAUGGGAAACCAAACCGACCAAACAACCACCAAAAAGUAAACAAAACCCCAUCGUCAUUCCUAUUUAUUCAUCCAACAAAACCCCGACCCAUUUUCCCCUUACUCGAACCAGUUCCCUGCCCCUCUUUUUUUUUCCGCAAGUUAGCUGUGAGCCCCAAACCAGCUGAUUUUCAAGACCCAUGUGGGUUGUUAUGCCAUCUCCAACAAGCUCCAUGCUCCAACUUCAAUUUAACCGGAUAACCCAUUGAAAUGAAAUCAUUAUUUGUCCGAAGUCGCAAGAGACAAGAGGAUUAGCGAAAUUCGAGUCCUUGUAUUUCACAAGACAUUAUUAUCAAGUCAAAAUGAUAAAUCAGGGGAGUAUUUGUCUAUGAGAUCACAUCUAUUUAUUUUUAUUAUUAUUUGACAUGAUGUUCCUACUCUCACAUAUUUCUCAUAUUUUUGUAGAAAUAUCGUCCCCGACAUCAGUCGAGGAUGAUCAUAACAAUGUCUGGAUCUCGUGAAAAUUGGGAAGAGACAAAGGUCCAAGAAAACAUCCAAAAAGAGUACAACAAACAUUACUAUAGAAAUUCGUAGGAUACAUUCAACAGAUAGUAUAAAUAUUGACGAUUAAGAGGCUAUAAAACAUAUUGGUGCGGGAAAAAAAAUCAACUUCAUGACUUCAAAAUUUUAGUGGCACUAGACCUAGAAAUUUCUUUGAGUUGUCUAAAUCUUUAAGUUAUUAUAUGCCUUAUCAGACGAACUACGCGUACCUGAUUCUCAUUUUAGUGAGAUAUGUAGGCAAUCCUUCUUGGGUUCGAUAUUAUCUUCUCCAAAAAUUAAAAAAAAAUAGUUUGUGCAUA